RNAcentral lists this ribosomal RNA (733 nucleotides) under uncultured Acidobacteriota bacterium. RNAcentral's name for it is "bacterial SSU rRNA". It matches the Rfam family "Bacterial small subunit ribosomal RNA", at positions 61 to 826 of the family's 1533-position model. Lineage: Bacteria; Pseudomonadati; Acidobacteriota. The record is from RNAcentral.
GUCGAACGAGAAAGUGGAGCAAUCCAUGAGUAAAGUGGCGCACGGGUGAGUAACACGUGACUAACCUACCCUUGAGUGGGGAAUAACCUAGGGAAACCUGGGCUAAUACCGCAUAACACCUACGGGUCAAAGGAGCAAUUCGCUUAAGGAGGGGGUCGCGGCAGAUUAGCUAGUUGGCGGGGUAAUGGCCCACCAAGGCAGUGAUCUGUAUCCGGCCUGAGAGGGCGCACGGACACACUGGAACUGAAACACGGUCCAGACUCCUACGGGAGGCAGCAGUGGGGAAUUUUGCGCAAUGGGGGAAACCCUGACGCAGCAACGCCGCGUGGAGGAUGAAGUCCCUUGGGACGUAAACUCCUUUCGACCGGGAAGAUUAUGACGGUACCGGAAGAAGAAGCCCCGGCUAACUUCGUGCCAGCAGCCGCGGUAAUACGAGGGGGGCAAGCGUUGUUCGGAAUUAUUGGGCGUAAAGGGUGCGUAGGCGGUUCGGUAAGUCUUGCGUGAAAUCUUCGGGCUCAACUCGAAGUCUGCACGAGAAACUGCCGGGCUUGAGUGUGGGAGAGGUGAGUGGAAUUUCCGGUGUAGCGGUGAAAUGCGUAGAUAUCGGAAGGAACACCUGUGGCGAAAGCGGCUCACUGGACCACAACUGACGCUGAGGCACGAAAGCUAGGGGAGCAAACAGGAUUAGAUACCCUGGUAGUCCUAGCCCUAAACGAUGAUCGCUUGGUGUGAC